CCUACGGGAGACAGCAGUCGAGAAUCAUUCACAAUGGGGGAAACCCUGAUGGUGCGACGCCGCGUGGGGGAAUGAAGGUCUUCGGAUUGUAAACCCCUGUCAUGUGGGAGCAAAUUAAAAAGAUAGUACCACAAGAGGAAGAGACGGCUAACUCUGUGCCUGCAGCCGCUGUAAUACAGAGGUCUCAAGCGUUGUUCGGAAUCACUGGGCGUAAGGCGUGCGUAGGCUGUUUCGUAAGUCGUGUGUGAAAGGCGCGGGCUCAACCCGCGGACGGCACAAGAAACUGCGAGACUAGAGUAAUGGAGGGGGGACCGGAAUUCUCGGUGUAGCAGUGGAAUGCGUAGAUAUCGGGAGGAACACUCGUGGCGAAGGCGGGUUCCUGGACAUUAACUGACGCUGAGGCACGAAGGCCAGGGGAGCGAAAGGGAUUAGAUACCCGAGUAGUC
This 446-nucleotide ribosomal RNA is filed under the name uncultured bacterium. RNAcentral describes it as "partial 16S ribosomal RNA". It matches the Rfam family "Bacterial small subunit ribosomal RNA", at positions 338 to 795 of the family's 1533-position model. The record is from RNAcentral.